GGGGGCCGCACAAGCGGAGGAACAUGUGGUUUAAUUCGAUGAUACGCGAGGAACCUUACCCGGGCUUGAAAUGCAUCUGACCGGCCUUGAAAGAGGCACUCCCUUCGGGGCAGAUGUGUAGGUGCUGCAUGGUUGUCGUCAGCUCGUGCCGUGAGGUGUCGGCUUAAGUGCCAUAACGAGCGCAACCCUCAUCAUUAGUUACCAUCAGGUAAGGCUGGGGACUCUAAUGAGACUGCCAUCGUAAGAUGUGAGGAAGGUGGGGAUGACGUCAAAUCAGCACGGCCCUUACGUCCAGGGCUACACACGUGCUACAAUGGCCGGUACAAAGGGCAGCUACCUGGUGACAGGAUGCUAAUCUCAAAAGCCGGUCUCAGUUCGGAUCGGAGUCUGCAACCCGACUCCGUGAAGCUGGAAUCGCUAGUAAUCGUGGAUCAGCCAAGCCGCGGUGAAUACGUUCCCGGGCCUU
This 466-nucleotide ribosomal RNA is filed under the name uncultured Proteiniphilum sp. Its description in RNAcentral is "bacterial SSU rRNA". It matches the Rfam family "Bacterial small subunit ribosomal RNA", at positions 916 to 1382 of the family's 1533-position model. Lineage: Bacteria; Pseudomonadati; Bacteroidota; Bacteroidia; Bacteroidales; Dysgonomonadaceae. The record is from RNAcentral.